This 534-nucleotide long non-coding RNA is filed under the name Homo sapiens (human). RNAcentral's name for it is "HSALNT0364763". Lineage: Eukaryota; Metazoa; Chordata; Mammalia; Primates; Hominidae. The record is from RNAcentral.
AAAGAAUGUCCUUUCUCUUGGCCCCAAAAAGGACCUUGUCCAAAUCUCCUCUGUUCUCCGCUUCGUCCAAAGGUUGCUACAAUAAUUCCAGCUGUGUAUACCUCCUGGGAUCAUAAUAGAAAUGAACCUCUGAAGCAUCUUACUGAAGAAGGCCCCUACGUUGACUGUCCAGCUGACUGUCUCUACCCGACUGCUGUCCCACACAAUAUGGGCCAGGCGAUGGUAUUGCCUUUGCAAACUAAAUGAAGUUCCUCAAAGUGAAGCUGGUGGCGACUUCAGAGUUAACUUUUCAAAUGGCCGGGCUUAUAUAGAAUAACCUUUGUAAAAGUAAACUAUGAUCAUAUAAUAAGAUACAUGUGCAUUUGGAACGCCACUGCUUUUGGAACCUGUCUCAGUUUUUAUCAUCAUACAAGGUUAAUUGUCUAAUGUCAAUUAGAUUUUAUCACAGUGCAUUUGGGUCCUAAUCUGGAACAAUAAAAGUCUAUUAAACAGCAAACUUUGUAGAUGUAUUUCCUAAAGAUGUAUUUCCUUUUU